CUGCAGCGUCGUUCCCCCCUACAGCCAUCUGUUUACGAUCUUUCAGUAAGUGUCAGGAGCCAAGCGCUCCCCCUCUCCUCGUCUCCCUCUUUCAAGAGAUGAUCAGAGGAGCGAACAACCAGUGAAAAGAGAAGCGAUGGAGCGAUGCUCCGUCUCUGGACUCACUGCUCUCUUGCGCCUCCUGCUGGUUGCCGUCAUCAUUUGUCCCCCUCAUUGCCGUGCGGGCGACGAGCCUGUCGACAUGCAGCUGUCCGCUACACCCCAGGCCACACCCACUCCGCUCUGGGCAGUCGACUGGGGUCCCACGCAGCCGCUGGAGGACGAGACGCAUCACUUCCUGUCCAGUCAGGAAGUCGAGGGCGUGAAGCAGGCCACACCCGAGGUGUGGCCGCGUCGCAGGAACGCCCAAGCCAACCAAACCCAACAGCAGCCGCUGUCCAUCGAAGCCAAGGACUCGGCAGAGGAGCAGGAACGAGACGCAGAGGAAAGAGAGAUUGAAGAAGUUAUGACCGCAGCCUGUCUCAGCGUCCUCCCCCUCUUUCCCUCGCCAUCCCUCGUUCCCUGGCCCCAGAGGAUAGCAGGCACACACUUCAGAGCACCCCCUCGUUCCCUGACAGAGAAAGACUUCCUGUGGUCAAUCUUUGAAGAACUGACUGUACCAAGCUUUCUAAUCACAUCCUCUGGGCAUGGAAUGUGAAAAAAACAAGGGUAACUAUGAGAACAAACAUAGAACAUGCGGAACUGCAUGAAGACGGAUACAUGAAAGAGAAUAUGUGGGGAUGGACGAGGCUCUGAGGAUUGGGGCUGUAUAUAUAUAUAUAUAUAUAUAUUGGCACAUUUUCUGGACGGAUGUACAGACAUGGAACGGAGGCCGUACAUUCUUUCAAGCCAGAGAUUCAGGCUCUCUUCUUCAGCCAUUUUGAAACAUUCCGUUUGUUUUUUUUUUCCCCCGUCGUCGUUUGAAUCGUUUCUUUCGCCGU
Ictalurus punctatus (channel catfish) is the source of this 980-nucleotide long non-coding RNA. The record is from Ensembl. Lineage: Eukaryota; Metazoa; Chordata; Actinopteri; Siluriformes; Ictaluridae.